Molecule: transfer RNA, 74 nt
Filed under: Clostridiales bacterium
Lineage: Bacteria; Bacillati; Bacillota; Clostridia; Eubacteriales
Also listed under: 1 other name
Description: tRNA-Gly
Rfam family: tRNA
About the family: Transfer RNA (tRNA) molecules are approximately 80 nucleotides in length. Their secondary structure includes four short double-helical elements and three loops (D, anti-codon, and T loops). Further hydrogen bonds mediate the characteristic L-shaped molecular structure. tRNAs have two regions of fundamental functional importance: the anti-codon, which is responsible for specific mRNA codon recognition, and the 3' end, to which the tRNAs corresponding amino acid is attached (by aminoacyl-tRNA synthetases). tRNAs cope with the degeneracy of the genetic code in two manners: having more than one tRNA (with a specific anti-codon) for a particular amino acid; and 'wobble' base-pairing, i.e. permitting non-standard base-pairing at the 3rd anti-codon position.
Source: RNAcentral
GCAGGCAUAGUUUAGUGGUAAAAUAAACGCUUCCCAAGCGUUGGUUGCGGGUCCGAUUCCCGUUGCCUGCUCCA